AACACGAACCGCACGAACGUUAUUCGGAAUUACUGGGCUUAAAGGGUUUGUAGGCGGCCUUGUAAGUCAGGUGUGAAAUCCCUCGGCUCAACCGAGGAAUGGCGCUUGAUACUGCAAGGCUUGAGGGAGACAGGGGUAAGCGGAACUGAUGGUGGAGCGGUGAAAUGCGUUGAUAUCAUCAGGAGCACCGGUGGCGAAAGCGGCUUACUGGGUCUCUUCUGACGCUGAGGAACGAAAGCUAGGGUAGCGAACGG
Molecule: ribosomal RNA, 254 nt
Filed under: uncultured prokaryote
Description: partial 16S ribosomal RNA
Rfam family: Bacterial small subunit ribosomal RNA
Source: RNAcentral